Molecule: transfer RNA, 81 nt
Filed under: Elusimicrobiota bacterium
Lineage: Bacteria; Pseudomonadati; Elusimicrobiota
Description: Elusimicrobia bacterium (groundwater metagenome) tRNA-Val
Rfam family: tRNA
About the family: Transfer RNA (tRNA) molecules are approximately 80 nucleotides in length.
Source: RNAcentral
GGGUGGUUAGCUCAGCAGAAGAGUAUGGUGUGUUACUCCCUCACACGGGAAGGGUCAUAGGUUCAAAUCCUAUACCACCCA